UGGUGAUGAUGGCGGAGGGGUUCCACGCGUACCCAUCCCGAACACGACCGUUAAGCCCUCCAGCGCCGAUGGUACUUGGACCGAAGGGUCCUGGGAGAGUAGGACGUCGCCA
Molecule: ribosomal RNA, 112 nt
Filed under: Paenibacillus macerans
Lineage: Bacteria; Bacillati; Bacillota; Bacilli; Caryophanales; Paenibacillaceae
Also listed under: 1 other name
Source: RNAcentral